This 150-nucleotide microRNA precursor is filed under the name Erinaceus europaeus (western European hedgehog). RNAcentral's name for it is "miRNA (ENSEEUG00000023095.1)". Lineage: Eukaryota; Metazoa; Chordata; Mammalia; Eulipotyphla; Erinaceidae. The record is from RNAcentral.
AUCUUGGAAGCUAAGCAGGGUUGGGCCUGGUUACUACUUGGAUAGGAGAAACUAGAACACUGAUCAGCUCUGGCAUAUGCACCAGGGGUGGAACCUGAGACUUCAAAGCCUCAAGCAUGAAUCUUUUGCAUAACAAUUAUGUUGUCUUCC